GACGAACGCUGGCGGCGUGCUUAACACAUGCAAGUCGAACGAAAAUACCAAGCUUGCUUGGUUGAUUAGUGGCGAACGGGUGAGUAACACGUGUGUAACCUGCCCCUUACUUUCCUGGAUAACUGCUCGAAAGGGUAGCUAAUACGGGAUAUUCUGACCAGCCUGCAUGGGUUGGUUUGGAAAGGUUGUUUUUCUGGUAAGGGAUGGGCUCGCGGCCUAUCAGCUUGUUGGUGGGGUGAUGGCCUACCAAGGCUUUGACGGGUAGCCGGCCUGAGAGGGUGGACGGUCACACUGGGACUGAGAUACGGCCCAGACUCCUACGGGAGGCAGCAGUGGGGAAUAUUGCACAAUGAGCGCAAGCCUGAUGCAGCGACGCCGCGUGAGGGAGGAAGGCCUUCGGGUUGUAAACCUCUUUCGUCAGGGAACAAGGCACUGCUUUUGUGGUGGUGUUGAGGGUACCUGGAUAAGAAGCGCCGGCUAACUACGUG
RNAcentral lists this ribosomal RNA (488 nucleotides) under uncultured bacterium. Its description in RNAcentral is "partial 16S ribosomal RNA". It matches the Rfam family "Bacterial small subunit ribosomal RNA", at positions 28 to 507 of the family's 1533-position model. The record is from RNAcentral.